UGUGUGACAGCGCUGUGUAUGGAUCAGAGGAGGGGGCGGAGCUACACGGGACGGAAGGGGGCAGAGCUAAACGGGAUUGAAGGGGGCGGCGCUAAGAGGACCAGGCUGCUGUAGAGAGAGGGACAGUAAUUACAGUGGCGGCCAGCAAGACUUAGACCUGUAUUCCAGUGAGAAUUUGGUUAGCUCUUUAUGGUCGUGCAGCCAUUUAAACUCGAGAGGCCAGCUCCCCUCUGCCAUGCAAGUAAGGACCAGCCGAUUCCCUUCUAGAUGGACUUGACUCCGCACCGGUUCAGUCUUGAAGUACGGAGGGACAUCAUCUGAAAUAAAAGAUAUUAAAAAUGUGAAGAUUGCUCUCCACUGUGCAAGACGAGGCUGAUUUAUGACAGUACUUUGGAGCACCAAACCCUUGAGUUUGGCCGUCCUGCUGUUCAUUUGGGUAUUAUGACUGCUGCUGCUGUAAAAGUGACA
Molecule: long non-coding RNA, 468 nt
Organism: Pseudophryne corroboree (corroboree frog)
Lineage: Eukaryota; Metazoa; Chordata; Amphibia; Anura; Myobatrachidae
Exons: 4
Source: RefSeq, a predicted model, not a curated record